RNAcentral lists this long non-coding RNA (4030 nucleotides) under Capra hircus (goat). RNAcentral describes it as "lncRNA (ENSCHIG00010011468.1)". The record is from RNAcentral. Lineage: Eukaryota; Metazoa; Chordata; Mammalia; Artiodactyla; Bovidae.
AUGGAAGACACCCACAACGCAGGAAACCUUUAUCUCACUGGUGCUGUCGUUGCACAAACUGUGCAAUGGAAAAUUUGCCAGACUGAUUCAUUCUCUGAACAUGAAUUCUGGAAGUCAGUUUCCAACCACAUUCUAGCCAGGCUAGGUGACUCAAGGGUUUAUAGGAAGGAGAGUGGGAGGCAAAUAGCCCCUUAUUUAAGUCCUGUUUGCAUACAGAGGAUGGAGGUGGGCUUUCCACGUAAUAAUUCUAUUUAAAAAGGUACUCAUUGUAGGAGAGACAAAGGGUCUGUCCUCUAGCUGGUAACUACUCAAGUGAUGGACAAGCCUUCUUUCACAAAAGCUUACAAAGGAGGCAUCUGAAACACAGCCUGUGAUACUGGGUCACCUAUUAGUCAUUGCAGCUAAUUGUACAUCUUUCUAUGAAACACUGAAAAGCCUCUUUGUGAAUUAAUACAGUUUUGCUUGAUGCACUCGAUUUGAAAUGACAUUUCUCUGUAUGUGGUGCAUGUCAGCUUUGCUUUGAAAAAUAACAAAGUUAGCAGAAUAUGUUCAAUAUAUUUUCUUGGGGAAUAGGGUUUUUAUCAUACGAUUCAUUAAGGAUUUGCCUUACCCUGACAUUUGUGAUAUAAAGGAAAAUCAGAAAAAAAGUAAUUUUCUUGAUCAAGAUAUGUUUUUACUUAAUGCAAAUAAAUGUAGUCUGUUGCUUGCAAGGAAAAAAAAAAUGUCUUCUGAGAUCUGGUAUAAACUGCUAAAUAGAAUAAUACGUGCCUCUUUUGUUAAACCAGCAUUUCAGCACUGGACUGCUUCUGAGUAUGUUUGUUUCUUUUCAUCCGUGCCAUACACUAAGAAACUUAAACAACUGUUGCCUUCAUGCUAUAUUUGUUAGAGCAGAAUAUGAAUAAAAUUUGUUUGAGAGGAUAAGGUGGAAUUAUCCGUGUUUUGUGAAAUUUGUUCCUUAGCUGUGAGCAGUUAAUAACUCAAAACUGUUCAUUUAACAGUAGAUAUCUGGUUGCAAAUAUGUGUAUUUAAAAUUGCCCCUGCAAGUCAACUGUAACUUUCCCUACUAAGACUGAUCAAUGGUGUGGCCGUGUUUUCAAAAUUAAACUAUACAGAAGUUUGAACAGACAUAAAACCUAAUAUAUAAUUUUUCUCUGAAUGCUAAAUAGUUGCUUACCCUAGCAACAGCCUCUGAGGUGAAGAUAUACAUUGUUGAGAUGAAGCCAAUGAACAUUGGUCCAUGCUAUAGAACCCAUCAUCCAUUACUGGAAUUCUUUUUGAGCAUCUUUUAUGUCACAUAGCCAGGUUGGCUAUGUGACAACUGUAGCCACUAUCCUCCUCAGCCUACUGUUGACAGAAUUAUGAUUGAAUUACAAAAUUGUUAAGAGACUGGCAACAGAGCCACAAAAACCGCUAUGGGAAAAACUUGAAGUUCUUUUGAAAAUGGAAAUCUGUAUUCCAUCAAGUUUAAUUCCCUCUAUCUCCUACAGAGGAAGAGCUAUCAAGUGUAUUGUUCUAGAAGGCAAUAAAGAAGGUCGGUCCUUUUAUCCAACAAAGCCAGAAGCUUAAUAGUUAAGGCAGAAUCAGGUUUUUUAAUCUGCUGUACCAAAGGGACAUUUUUUCAGUAAUAAACAAGUCUGAUGAGAAGAAAAUUGUAGCCAGGACAGUCUUCUCUCACAAUGGGCAAUCCCAACACAAAUACUUCAAAGUGGCAGACAGAUGAUUGGACAUGAUUCUAGCAUGGCCAAAUACAGUUUGUUUGUUUUAAUCUACAUUGAAUUUUUCAUCUCUUUGCCCAUCACUUAUGUUUCUCCCCCACUUCUGCCUCUUUACAUUUAAAAGAUGUCAUUGAACAUCAACUUAACUUUGCUGGUGGUUCUCGGGACUAAAAGGGUAAUGAUACUAAUUUAUACUGUUCUUGCCAGAAUUCUGGCCCAGUGUGGGGCUUUGGGAAACAAAUACCUCCAUUCCUUGGUUUGAAAGAUAGAAAUACUAAUGCAUUCCCUGAACUCGCUUCCAAAUUUAAACAUGAAUUAAAAUGCCAAGCUAUUUCUCUUUGCCAUUGGGAAAAGCACUUGGUAAAUUAUUUGCAUUAUAUUCUAUUUGAAACUGUAGACAAAUAUCCCUUUCUCCAACUCAAGACUCUCCACCAAAUGAAUAAACAGUCCUUACCUUUGAGUGGGAAAUAUGAAAUCUUUUCUACUAAAAUCAGAUUGAUUAUAUUCUUUGCAGUUGAAGAUGGAGAAGCUCUNNNNNNNNNGCAAAAACAAGACCUGGAGCUGACUGUGGCUCAGAUCAUCAACUUCUUAUGACUAGAAGAUCAAACCAAUCAAUCCUAAAGAAAGUCAACCCUGAAUAUUCAUUGCAAGGACUGAUGCUGAAGCAGAAGCUCUAAAACUCUGGCCUCCUGAUGUGAAGAGAUGACUCACUGGAAAAGACUCUGAUGCUGGGAAAGAAAAAUUGAAGGCAAAAGGAGAAGAGGGUGGCAAAGGAUGAGAUGAUUAGAUAGCAUCACCAACUCAAUGGAUAAGAAUUUUAGUAAACUCCGGGAGAUAGUGAAGGACAGGGUAGCCUGGCAUGCUGCAUUCAUGGGGUCACAAAGAGUUGGACACAACUUAGUGAGAGAACAACUAAACUUUGGGUGGAAAUAUGAAAUCCUUUCUACUGAAGUUGACUUAAAUUCUGCCUCUAAGGACCCAUGAGGAUGAGGGAAAACUAUUUUAUAAAAUUUAGAGAAAUGGGCAGUUUGCUAUUUGCACACAAAAUACUGACACUUGGUAUAAAUCUUUUUAAGCUGUUAUUUCUCUGGUAAGAAUGAGAGUGGAUCUGUGACUAAAUCAGAAAGGGGUGUGGCCCUAUUUCUUGGGUAAGGUGCACAGAAGGAUAUAGAUUUAGAAGGGGAUAGAGAAAUACUAAUAGGCACUUCCUUUCACUGGGGGAGGAGAACUCUUCCUUGCCCCACUGAAACUGGACUUCAUAUAACUUGCUUCGGCCAAUGAUGUGUGGGCAGAAGUAGCAUAUGUCACUUCAGGCAGAAGCUUGAAGACUCUUGCUCAUUUUUUCCCUCUACCAUAAUGACCAGCAACUUCUAAGACAGGCUGCUCUGUCAGCCUAGAACUGGAGUGAAGAAGAUGUGAAGUUGAGUUUCAGCCAAGUUACACUGAGAAGGUGACAGGAGUAAGAAGGAAAUCUGUGUUUUGAGAUCUGGGCACCAUAUCACCCAAGCCUAACCUAGCCUGUUCUAACUGAUAUGUCUGCCAUUUGAAGCAUUUAAAUAAAAAGUCCAAGAAGUGGAAUGAUCUGCCUUUCCAGUCUCAUCUGUCAAACUGGCUCCCCAAACUGGCAAUACAAUGACCCUCUGUCCAUUCCCAGAACUGGCUAAAUUCAUACUCAUCCUUGAGAUCUCAGCUGUAAUGUCACUUCCUAGAGGUGCCUUCCCCAACUACCUUAUAUCAAAGAAGAUCCCCUUUACCAAUGUCCUUACCUACUGAACGCCAUAUUUGCUAUGUCAGAACAGUUAGAAUUAUUUGUAAUUGUUUGUUUACAUGGAAGAAACAAACAUUCACAUGUCUCAACUCAGAUGGGCAAUAUAAUGCAACUUUCUUCCACACACACACACCAAAAAUAUGAACUGGCCUUAUUUCUAAGCCUCUGUCCAAUUGGUUAGAGGUGAUCAUGGGAAAAUAAUUUAAUUGGUCAAUAAAAGAUAUCUCAGUCUUUUUCAGUUUAAAAUACUAAAUUAGGAGUAAAUAUUUAGUGAGAUCCAAGGUUUAAAUGCCUUACUGAAGCCACUUGUUGACCCCAAAAUUAUUAUGCCCUACCCAUGUAAAGGCCUUUCUUCUAAUCACUAUGCAAUAAAACUAGCAAAAAAAACCCUGAAUUUUAACUAUGAUAAAACAUCUUAAAUGCAGUUUCAUGAUUUUUAAGACUUGCUGAAAACAGAUAACAUGAUUCUAUACAUAGAAAAUCCUAAAGAUGCUAUAAAAAACUGCUAGAGCUCAUCAAUGAAUUCAGUAAAGUUGCAGGAUACAAA